GAUGAAGAACGUAGCAAAAUGCGAUACUUGGUGUGAAUUGCAGAAUCCCGUGAACCAUCGAGUUUUUGAACGCAAGUUGCGCCCGAAACCAUCCGGUUGAGGGCACGCCUGCCUGGGCGUCACGCAUCGCGUCGUCCCCCAACAUACUCUCCCUUUCUGGGUUGUCAUGUUGAUUGGGGACGGAGAUUGGCCUCCCGUGCUUCUGGUGCGGUUGGCCUAAAUAGGAGGCCCCUUCGGUGGAUACACGGCUAGUGGUGGUUGUUAAGACCCUCGUAUUGUGCUGUGUGUUGUGAGCUGUUAGGGAAACCCUCACCAAAGACCCUAUUGUAUCGUCUUGGUACGAUGCUUCGACCGCGACCCCAGGUCAGGCGGGACUACCCGCUGAGUUUAAGCAUAUCAUAAGCGGAGGA
Molecule: unclassified non-coding RNA, 410 nt
Filed under: soil metagenome
Description: partial contains 5.8S ribosomal RNA, internal transcribed spacer 2, and large subunit ribosomal RNA
Rfam family: 5.8S ribosomal RNA (bases 1-122)
Source: RNAcentral